CCCUUAGAUGUUCUGGGCCGCACGCGCGCUACACUGAUUCAUGCAACAAGUUUUGUCCUUGGCUGAUAGGCCUGGGUAAUCUUUGAACGUGACUCGUGAUGGGGAUAGAUGAUUGCAAUUAUUCAUCUUCAACGAGGAAUUCCUAGUAAACGCAAGUCAUCAGCUUGCAUUGAUUACGUCCCUGCCCUUUGUACACACCGCCCGUCGCACCUACCGAUUGAAUGGUCCGGUGAAAUCUUCGGAUCUGAGAGAUGUCUGAUUAAUUUCGGACGCCUUUUGGAAAAGUUGCUUAAACCUUACCAUUUAGAGGAAGGUGAAGUCGUAACA
This 327-nucleotide ribosomal RNA is filed under the name uncultured eukaryote. RNAcentral's name for it is "partial 18S ribosomal RNA". It matches the Rfam family "Eukaryotic small subunit ribosomal RNA", at positions 1470 to 1796 of the family's 1831-position model. The record is from RNAcentral.